RNAcentral lists this ribosomal RNA (468 nucleotides) under uncultured bacterium. RNAcentral describes it as "partial 16S ribosomal RNA". It matches the Rfam family "Bacterial small subunit ribosomal RNA", at positions 28 to 507 of the family's 1533-position model. The record is from RNAcentral.
GACGAACGCUGGCGGCGUGCUUAACACAUGCAAGUCGAACGGAAAGGCCCUGCUUUUGUUGGGUGCUCGAGUGGCGAACGGGUGAGUAACACGUGAGUAACCUGCCCUUGACUUUGGGAUAACUUCAGGAAACUGGGGCUAAUACCGGAUAGGAGCUCCUGCUGCAUGGUGGGGGUUGGAAAGUUUCGGCGGUUGGGGAUGGACUCGCGGCUUAUCAGCUUGUUGGUGGGGUAGUGGCUUACCAAGGCUUUGACGGGUAGCCGGCCUGAGAGGGUGACCGGCCACAUUGGGACUGAGAUACGGCCCAGACUCAUACGGGAGGCAGCAGUGGGGAAUAUUGCACAAUGGGCGGAAGCCUGAUGCAGCAACGCCGCGUGCGGGAUGACGGCCUUCGGGUUGGAAACCGCUUUCGCCUGUGACGAAGCGUGAGUGACGGUAAUGGGUAAAGAAGCACCGGCUAACUACGUG